RNAcentral lists this ribosomal RNA (756 nucleotides) under Escherichia coli. Its description in RNAcentral is "bacterial SSU rRNA". It matches the Rfam family "Bacterial small subunit ribosomal RNA", at positions 776 to 1532 of the family's 1533-position model. RNAcentral also lists the same sequence under 1 other name. The record is from RNAcentral. Lineage: Bacteria; Pseudomonadati; Pseudomonadota; Gammaproteobacteria; Enterobacterales; Enterobacteriaceae.
GAUUAGAUACCCUGGUAGUCCACGCCGUAAACGAUGUCGACUUGGAGGUUGUGCCCUUGAGGCGUGGCUUCCGGAGCUAACGCGUUAAGUCGACCGCCUGGGGAGUACGGCCGCAAGGUUAAAACUCAAAUGAAUUGACGGGGGCCCGCACAAGCGGUGGAGCAUGUGGUUUAAUUCGAUGCAACGCGAAGAACCUUACCUGGUCUUGACAUCCACAGAACUUUCCAGAGAUGGAUUGGUGCCUUCGGGAACUGUGAGACAGGUGCUGCAUGGCUGUCGUCAGCUCGUGUUGUGAAAUGUUGGGUUAAGUCCCGCAACGAGCGCAACCCUUAUCCUUUGUUGCCAGCGGUCCGGCCGGGAACUCAAAGGAGACUGCCAGUGAUAAACUGGAGGAAGGUGGGGAUGACGUCAAGUCAUCAUGGCCCUUACGACCAGGGCUACACACGUGCUACAAUGGCGCAUACAAAGAGAAGCGACCUCGCGAGAGCAAGCGGACCUCAUAAAGUGCGUCGUAGUCCGGAUUGGAGUCUGCAACUCGACUCCAUGAAGUCGGAAUCGCUAGUAAUCGUGGAUCAGAAUGCCACGGUGAAUACGUUCCCGGGCCUUGUACACACCGCCCGUCACACCAUGGGAGUGGGUUGCAAAAGAAGUAGGUAGCUUAACCUUCGGGAGGGCGCUUACCACUUUGUGAUUCAUGACUGGGGUGAAGUCGUAACAAGGUAACCGUAGGGGAACCUGCGGUUGGAUCACCUCCUU